This 447-nucleotide ribosomal RNA is filed under the name Hylurgus ligniperda. Its description in RNAcentral is "partial 28S ribosomal RNA". Lineage: Eukaryota; Metazoa; Arthropoda; Insecta; Coleoptera; Curculionidae. The record is from RNAcentral.
AAACCGUUUAGGGGUAAACCUGAAAAACCCGAAAGGUCGAAGGGUGAAAUUCAUUCGCGUUUCGACGUUGGCGAGGAGCGGAGUUGAGUGACGGAAAUAUGUUCGCAUGUUUUUGCACCCUUUGUUCUCUCGAACCGAUGACGAACGCGUGCACUUUUCUCCUGGUAGGACGUCGCGAUCCGUUGGGUGUCGGUCUACGGCAUGCGGUGGAGCCCGUUCAUUAUUUAUUGAUGAAUGGACCUGCAUUGUUCCCGGCCGACUCGCUCGACGGUAUUCGAAAGGUUUGAGGCCGCUCGACUUGGAGCGUUCGACUCGCAGCAAGCGCGCCAGAUGCCGUUGGUGAUCGGACCUAGUGCCGAUUCUGACCUCUGGUGGCUGUUGGCUACGAUGUUCUCGAACAGACCUCACGACCGAUCUGCGACGCUAUAGCUUUGGGUACUUUCAGGA